RNAcentral lists this long non-coding RNA (2056 nucleotides) under Gallus gallus (chicken). Its description in RNAcentral is "long non-coding RNA NONGGAT001389". Lineage: Eukaryota; Metazoa; Chordata; Aves; Galliformes; Phasianidae. The record is from RNAcentral.
GGCCAAAGGCCCAGAGGAGGGCAUGACCAGACCAUGGAACCUUCCUGUUCUCUGCUGCUCAGCUGGAUAGUUGUUUCACCUUCCACAGGGACAUCGGUAAAAAGAUAAGUAAUCAAACUAAAACCAGCUUGGUUGCUUUUUUGGCAAUCAGCUUCUGUCAGUGGCCUUGGUGAUGGGGUAGGCAUAUCACAGCAGUCAUAACACUUGCAGUUCCCUGUGUCAGUCAGUCACUGGCGACAUGGUGGGCAUAGGAAGAUCAUAAGAACUUGUCUGCCAGCUGAGGCCACAUGUGAGCAGAAUAUUGUGUAGGGGCUGAGGUAAGUGGACAGAACAAAAGGCAUGGAAGGAAGGGCAUGUCCCAGGGCAGGAAGGUGAGGGUGUCUGUGAUGCUGCAAACUGUGUGUCCUCCACCUUUGUCUUUGAGGCCAAGAGGCCCAGAGGUGGAUAUAACCAGACCAUUGAACGUUCCUGUCCUCUCCUGCUCAUCUGAAGAGAUGUUCUGCCUUCUACAAGCACACUGAUACAAAGAUAAGUAAUCAAAAUAACAUGCGCCGGCUGUAAUUUGGUUGUCAACUUCUGGCAACUUUCUUGGUGAUGCCGUGGGCAUGCCAAAGCAGGCAUAAGCCUGGCAGUACCAUGUGUCACAUAGGCAUUGGCAACAUGGCAUGCAUUGGGAGAUCAUAGAAGGAGCUGCACAUCUCUGCCAGACCAAGCAAGAGGAGAGAAGGAUGGUUAGCAUAUGCAGUGGUGAGAGGACAGGACAGCGGACAUAGAAGGGAAGGUUUGCGCCUGGGCAAUGAGGCAGGAGUGGUUGUGAUGCAACAGACUGUGUGUCCCCCUCCUUUGUCUUGGAGGGACAGAGGCCCAGAGGAGAGCAUGACCAGACCGUGGAACCCUUCAGUCUUCUGCUGCUCCACCUUUCACAGGGACAUCAAUACAAUGAUAAGUAAUCAAACUAACACCAGCUUGGCUGUACUUUUGGCGAUCAGCUUCUGUCUGCGGCCUUGGUGAUGGGGUGUGCAUGUCACAGCAGGCACAACAUUGGCAGUUCCCUGUGUCACACAAGCACUGGCAACAUGGCAUUGGAAGACCAUAGAAAAAGCUGCAUCCCUCUGCCAGCCCAGGACAGAGGAGAGCAGGAUGGUUAGCAGAGGCACAGGUGAGAGGGUAGUACUGAGGACAUGGAAGGGAAGGGCUGGACCUGGGCAGGGAGGCAGGAAUGGCUAUUGUGCCAGACAUUGUAUGUCCUCCUCCUUUUUCUUUAGGGCCAGAGGCCAUGGAACCUUCCUGUCCACUUCUUCUCCCUGGAACAGUGAUACAAGCAUAAGUAAUCAAACUAACAUCAGCAUGGCUAUAAUUUUGCCAACAGCUUCUGGCAACUGCCUUGGUGAUGCCAUGGGCAUCUCACAGCAGGCAUAAAAUUGGCAGUUUCCUCUGUCACACAUAAACUGGCAACAUGGUGAGCAAAGGGCUAUCAUAAGAGCAGCUCCACUCAUAUGCUAGCCCUGACCAGAGAAGUGCAGGAGAGUAAGUAGAGGCAGAGGUGGGAGGGCAGGACAGAGGACAUGGAAGGGAAGGGCUGGGACCCUGGGCAGGGAUGCAUGGGUUGCUGUGAUGCAACAGACUGUGUGUCCUCCUCCUUUGUCUUGGAGUGACAGAGGUCCACAGGAGAACUUCCCCAGACUGUGGAACCCUCCUGUCCUCUGCUGCUCAGCUGUAGAGUUGUUCCAUUUUCUACAAGGACAUCAGUACAAAGGUUUCUACAUUCAUCUGUGAAUUAUUGGAACUAAUGAAAAGGAUGCACAGCAUCAGACUGUAUUGCUGCUUGUCCUUGGAGUUUGCUGAAAGUCACUUCGGCUGUGGAUGAGGAAAGAUGUGCACCACCAGUCUUCUCUUUGUGAAAAUCACCUGACUACAAAAUGUUUUGCUGCAUAAGUGUGUUAGCUAGUUCUUCUGAUUUACACCAUCUUUUUUGGGGGUAUAACCUUUGGGCUUCUCCUUAUUUUCUUUUCUGGUCUGCGUAAAUAAAUGAAAUAUAUUUAUGGAUAAUUGUGCA